ACGAGCCCCUAAACGACUCACUAUAGGGAAAGCUUGCAUGCAGGCCUCUGCAGUCGACGGGCCCGGGAUCCGAUUCUGAUCUAGAGGUACCGGAUCCUUUUUUUUUUUUUUCCGCCAUUACCCCCCCAUCCCUUUCUAACCCCCUCCCCAAAUGGGGAAAAAGGUGCAACCCCCCGGGGGGGCCCAAUGGAGAAAGGUUAAAAAGAAAGGGGACCCCUAUUUUCUAGGGUCCACAAACCAAAGGAUUUGGAAGAACAAUCCCCAAGAGGAAAAGGGCCUUUCUUCACAAUUUCAAAAGUUAAAAACCUUAUUUUCGGCAACAAAAACCCCAAAAAAAACCAUUGGAGAAAAAUAAAGAAAAGGCGGGGGGCUUCCUCUACUUUAAAGCCUUUGCCGGGGUCCCGAGCUCAAUUUCCCGGGCCGUCUUUUACAAAAGGCCUACUAAUAAGGUGUCUGUGGGAUGGUUGAAACUCUGCCACACGAACUUUCCCUUUGAGUCAUGUAGCACCAUGUUACCAUUAGGUAACAGCUUGAACCCUGUCACGCCUUUAUUGGCCGUGUUUGUUUGCCAAACGAUUCGACCAUUGGCCUCAGCCAAGACAAGAUUCCAUCCGUUCCCAACGAGAACGUAGCGUUUCUUAACGGGGUUCCCCCUAUUGCCUCCCACACCCAACGCAUGAGUGAUUCAGAACGGACAGUGCCCAUUCGCAAUGCUAGUGUCCAUGCAUUAGGAGUAGAGUGUAGAAACAGAGCUGGAAUGAGUUAGUGAACACACUAAGACGCGAUAAUCUGCUCUGUAUUCGACAUAAAGGUCCUAAGUCGGCUCAUGACGCUGAGGUGUUCAUCUGACUGGCAUGCACAAGUAUGGAACGAAGAGAGCAAAGUGAUAUCAUGAAGAACUGUACCAUCGCUAGUGAGUCGAUGACGCCGCUCACUGCGUCAUUCAGG
This 948-nucleotide ribosomal RNA is filed under the name Bacillus sp. SSR100044. Its description in RNAcentral is "partial 16S ribosomal RNA". The record is from RNAcentral. Lineage: Bacteria; Bacillati; Bacillota; Bacilli; Caryophanales; Bacillaceae.